UACGUAGGGAGCAAGCGUUGUCCGGAAUUACUGGGCGUAAAGGGCGCGUAGGUGGAUGCUUAAGUCAGAUGUGAAAACUCCGGGCUCAACUUGGAGAUUGCAUUUGAAACUGGGUAUCUUGAGGGUAGGAGAGGAAAGUGGAAUUCCUAGUGUAGCGGUGAAAUGCGUAGAUAUUAGGAGGAACACCAGUGGCGAAGGCGACUUUCUGGACUAUACCUGACACUGAGGCGCGAAAGCGUGGGUAGCGAACGGGAUUAGAUACC
Molecule: ribosomal RNA, 263 nt
Filed under: uncultured bacterium
Lineage: Bacteria
Description: partial 16S ribosomal RNA
Rfam family: Bacterial small subunit ribosomal RNA
Source: RNAcentral